GAGCGUCUUAUUUUAAUAAGUCAAAACUUUCAACAACGGAUCUCUUGGUUCUGGCAUCGAUGAAGAACGCAGCGAAAUGCGAUAAGUAAUGUGAAUUGCAGAAUUCAGUGAAUCAUCGAAUCUUUGAACGCACAUUGCGCCCAUUAGUAUUCUAGUGGGCAUGCCUGUUCGAGCGUCAUUUCAACCCUUAAGCCUAGCUUAG
Molecule: ribosomal RNA, 202 nt
Filed under: Pestalotiopsis cocculi
Lineage: Eukaryota; Fungi; Ascomycota; Sordariomycetes; Amphisphaeriales; Sporocadaceae
Description: 5.8S ribosomal RNA
Rfam family: 5.8S ribosomal RNA (bases 25-178)
About the family: 5.8S ribosomal RNA (5.8S rRNA) is a component of the large subunit of the eukaryotic ribosome.
Source: RNAcentral